RNAcentral lists this ribosomal RNA (468 nucleotides) under uncultured bacterium. Its description in RNAcentral is "partial 16S ribosomal RNA". It matches the Rfam family "Bacterial small subunit ribosomal RNA", at positions 28 to 507 of the family's 1533-position model. The record is from RNAcentral.
GACGAACGCUGGCGGCGUGCUUAACACAUGCAAGUCGAGCGGAAGGGCGCGGCUUUUGCUGGGUGCUCGAGUGGCGAAGGGGUGAGUAACACGUGAGUAUCCUGCCCUUGACUGUGGGAUAAAUUCAGGAAACUGCGGCUAAUACCGGAGAGGAUCUCCUGCUGCAUGGGGGGGGUUGGAAAGUUUCGGCGGUUGGGGAUGGACUCGCGGCUUACCAGCUAGUUGGGGGGGUAGUGACUUACCAGGGGUUUGACGGAUAGCCGGCAUGGGAGGUGAGACGGGCACCUGGCGCCUGAGGGAGGGACCAGUAGGGAAUGGGAGGCAAUAGGGGGAAGCAUGACACAGCGGGGGCGCGUGUGAGGCGGAGGCGCCGGGGGCGGGAUGCCGGCCUUUGGGGUGUAAACCGCUUUGGGCUGAGACGAAGCGUGAGUGACGGUACUGGGUAAAGAAGCACCGGCUAACUACGUG